Molecule: ribosomal RNA, 212 nt
Filed under: uncultured bacterium
Lineage: Bacteria
Description: partial 16S ribosomal RNA
Rfam family: Bacterial small subunit ribosomal RNA
Source: RNAcentral
CAGUUCAGAUUGCAGGCUGCAACUCGCCUGCAUGAAGUCGGAAUUGCUAGUAAUCGUAGGUCAGCAUACUACGGUGAAUACGUUCCCGGGCCUUGUACACACCGCCCGUCAAACCAUGAGAGUCGGGAACACCCGAAGUCCGUAGUCUAACCGCAAGGAGGGCGCGGCCGAAGGUGGGUUCGAUAAUUGGGGUGAAGUCGUAACAAGGUACC